GAUGAACGCUGGCGGCGUGCCUAAUACAUGCAAGUCGAGCGAACGGACGAGAAGCUUGCUUCUCUGAUGUUAGCGGCGGACGGGUGAGUAACACGUGGAUAACCUACCUAUAAGACUGGGAUAACUUCGGGAAACCGUAGCUAAUACCGGAUAAUAUUUUGAACAGCAUGGUUCAAAAGUGAAAGACGGUCUUGCUGUCACUUAUAGAUGGAUCCGCGCUGCAUUAGCUAGUUGGUAAGGUAACGGCUUACCAAGGCAACGAUGCAUAGCCGACCUGAGAGGGUGAUCGGCCACACUGGAACUGAGACACGGUCCAGACUCCUACGGGAGGCAGCAGUAGGGAAUCUUCCGCAAAGGGCGAAAGCCUGUCGGAGCAACGCCGCGUGAGUGAUGAAGGUCUUCGGAUCGUAAAACUCUGUUAUUAGGGAAGAACAUAUGUGUAAGUAACUGUGCACAUCUUGACGGUACCUAAUCAGAAAGCCACGGCUAACUACGUG
Molecule: ribosomal RNA, 497 nt
Filed under: uncultured bacterium
Lineage: Bacteria
Description: partial 16S ribosomal RNA
Rfam family: Bacterial small subunit ribosomal RNA
Source: RNAcentral